This 482-nucleotide ribosomal RNA is filed under the name uncultured bacterium. Its description in RNAcentral is "partial 16S ribosomal RNA". It matches the Rfam family "Bacterial small subunit ribosomal RNA", at positions 28 to 507 of the family's 1533-position model. The record is from RNAcentral.
GACGAACGCUGGCGGCGUGCUUAACACAUGCAAGUCGAACGAUGAAGAAGAGAAACGCGAACUUCGGUUCAAAUUUCACUUCGGAUUAGUGGCAGACGGGUGAGUAACGCGUGAGCAACCUACCUCUUACAAAGGGAUAGCCUCGGGAAACCGUGAUUAAUACCAUAUGACACAUUCAUAAGGCAUCUUAAGAAUGUUAAAGCUACGGCGGUAAGAGAUGGGCUCGCGUCCCAUUAGCUAGUUGGUGAGGUAACGGCCCACCAAGGCGACGAUGGGUAACCGGCCUGAGAGGGUGAACGGUCACAUUGGAACUGAGACACGGUCCAAACUCCUACGGGAGGCAGCAGUGGGGAAUAUUGCACAAUGGAGGGAACUCUGAUGCAGCGACGCCGCGUGAGAGAUGAAGGAAUUCGUUUCGUAAAGCUCUGUUCUAUGGGAAGAAAAGGACUGUACCAUAGGAGAAAGCCCCGGCUAAAUACGUG